AUGGUCAUUGAGGCUAAACGAGAGCUCCAGGAGGCCGUGAAGAAAAACGAUACCUUGGAAGAGGGUCUAGUAGGGAAAGAACUCGAACUUGCCAAAGCUCUCCAAGCCGCAAAUGAUACUCGGGAGGAAGCCCGAGGUGCUCUGAAGGACAUUCAGGAGGCAAGGAGGAUUGCGGCUGGAGCGUUUGCGGACCUGCCAUGCAGCAUAUCUGAUGCUGCCCAAUUCUACCGGGCUGAAGAGAAGAAGUCUGCGGAGAAGCAUUUCUGGUCGCAGUAUUUGGCGCUGAAUUAUCCGGUGCCCUUUGUCGAUCAGCUGAAGCAGCUGAUCGAACUGCACCAGGCGGCCAAACUAGCCAUGAAGGACUUAGUUGUCCGGCUGUGGCCCGCUGAGCCAAUUCCAAGCAGUUACUUCGGACUCGUGAAGCGGAUUGUUGGUGCUUGCCCUCGGCUUGAAGUAAUUAAGCGGUCAGUCUGUAUAGAAGGUGCACGCAUGGCAUUUGCCCGUGCGAAGGUGCACUGGGGGAAGCUUGAUGCUGAAAAGUUGAUGACUGAGGGACGACCGGAGGGUAAGGAGCACCGCAAGCCUGAAUUAUAUUAUAAUGGUGUCCUGAAAGGAGCCCGCCUUGUGGCGGAACAAUGUACCAAAGACACUAUAUUUCCCUGA
This 663-nucleotide ribosomal RNA is filed under the name Triticum aestivum (bread wheat). RNAcentral's name for it is "partial small subunit ribosomal RNA". The record is from RNAcentral. Lineage: Eukaryota; Viridiplantae; Streptophyta; Magnoliopsida; Poales; Poaceae.